RNAcentral lists this ribosomal RNA (468 nucleotides) under uncultured bacterium. RNAcentral's name for it is "partial 16S ribosomal RNA". It matches the Rfam family "Bacterial small subunit ribosomal RNA", at positions 28 to 507 of the family's 1533-position model. The record is from RNAcentral.
GACGAACGCUGGCGGCGUGCUUAACACAUGCAAGUCGAACGGAAAGGCCCUGCUUUUGUGGGGUGCUCGAGUGGCGAACGGGUGAGUAACACGUGAGUAACCUGCCCUUGACUUUGGGAUAACUUCAGGAAACUGGGGCUAAUACCGGAUAGGAGCUCCUGCUGCAUGGUGGGGGUUGGAAAGUUUCGGCGGUUGGGGAUGGACUCGCGGCUUAUCAGCUUGUUGGUGGGGUAGUGGCUUACCAAGGCUUUGACGGGUAGCCGGCCUGAGAGGGUGACCGGCAACUGGGGGAAUGAGAGACGGCCCGGACUCCGCCGGGAGGAAGGAGGGGGGAUUUUGGCACAGGGGGGGGAGGCCUGAUGCAGCAGCGCCGGGGGGGGGAGGAGGGCUUUGGGGUUGUAAACCGCUUCCGCCUGGGAAGAAGGGGGAGGGAGGGUAAGGGGUAAAGAAGCACCGGCUAACUACGUC